GUCUUGAAGCAAUGUCUGAACUCUUUCCAAUGGAGUGAAAAUGGCUUCUGUUGUCCCUGCAAGUACUGCCGCCACGCCACGGGUUGCAAACUCUGGGGCACUGACGUGCUUUUGGAGAAGGGAAGACAAAUCCUCGUACAGACCAAACAUAAGUGCCAGGGUGGUGGUUUUCUGCAUUAAUGGCGGAAGGAUUCCACGAUACAAGUUUCUAAAUCCAUCCCUCCUCAACUGAAGCACUGCAUCCCGGGUUUUGAUUCCAUAGAGCUGCUGCCGAAAAAGGAUCUUCUGAAUGGGAAAUGUGAUGGCUACAUUGUUGAAAGCUGCGCAGCAGCCACACAAGUAAUGCUUCAUCUCACCAACAUUUGUAAUGUGAGGUGAGAUGUCUUGUUUUGAAGAUGUAAGGAUUGGUGGUCUCUUUUCAUGAGCUUCUGAAUCCAUCAUGUUGCUUAAGGUCUCUCUUCUUCAUGAAGGAUUUUUUUUAACCUACAAAUAAAAAAUGAUAAUGGGUAAAUUUUUUUUGUGGUGCUGGGGAUGGAACCCAGAGCCUUGUGCAUACCAGGCAAGUGCUCUACCACUGAAUUAUGCCUCUAGUCCAAGGGAAAACCUUUUCAUGGAGAGACAAACACAUGGAAUUUCUCUUUAAUCCCUCCUCCAAUUUAUGAACCAUACGUUUUCCCUUUUAGACUAGGCAAGUAGUUCGUCACAUAAAUUUUUUUUCAUUAUCAUGUUAAUUUAGUAUAUAUGAAUGGAAUUCAGUGUGAUAAUUCAGUGCACUAUACUAUAUAUCAGCAAUUCUUUAAAGUAUUUUCAGAAGACCCCUUGCCAAGUGCUAUGGCACACGCCUAUAAUCCUAGCUAGUUGGGAGAUAGGAAGACCAAGUUCAAGGUCAGCCUCAGCAACUUAGUGUGACCCUGUCUCAAAUUAAAAAAUAACUAGGGAUGGAGGUAUAGCUCAGUAGUAGAGCACCCAUGGGUUCUAUUCCCAGUAUGUGGGAAAGGGGGAGGCUCUUUGGGAUUCACAAUAAUAAUUUUUAAGAGUGGAACCAGGUACUGCGGUUGUGGCUUAGUGGUAAAGCACUUGCCUAGCAUGUGUAAGGCACUGGGUUCGAUUCUCUUAUGUAAAUAAAUAAAUGAAUCAAAUUAAAGUCCACCAACAUCUAAAAAAACAUUAAAAAAAAAAAGAGGGGAGCCAGGCACAGUGGUGCACAUGACUUGGGAGGCUGAGGAAGGCCAGCCUCAGCAACUUUGUGAGAUACCAUCUCAAAAUAAAAAAUUAAAAGGGCUGGGGAUGUAGCUCAGUUCAAUUUCUAGUACUAAAUACAAACAAAUAGAUAAAAAUAGUGUAAAGGAUCCUGAGACCAAAAUAGUUCAAGCACCACUGAACUACUUCCUAACUAUUGGCUGUACUAAACAAUGGUAUAUCUCCAUUAUUUUACUGAAAUAAACUCAAAGUCUUCCCAUGGUAGUUAAUACAGCAAAAUGUGCAUGCAUGCAUUCUAUUCAUACUAAGGUACUAAAUACAAGUUAUUUAGUACCUUUGAACUUGGCCCUCUGGCAAGUAUUAGAGAUUCAAAGACAAGAAAUUCACAAACUACAAGAAGAACCUGCCAAUGUAAACAAUUACAACGCAGUGCAAUAUCUUCUACGAUAAAUAUGUGCUGUUGGACACAUGAGGUACGAAUGCUGGGAGGUGGAGAGAUGUGGAAAAUGAGGUCACAGAAGGCCUGUAGGCUGUACUAUAUUUUUACAUAAUUUAAUUUUCAAAACAACUCUAUAUUAUUUUCUCAGUUUUACAAAACAAAAUGAAACAAAAUAAACCUCCCCCCCAAAACAAAAAUCAACAUUCUCCAUUGUUCAAGGUAUACCUAGUAACUGGUGGGGCCAGCAUUUUGAAAUGAAGUCUGACUCCAGGGCUCACAUGCCUACUACCACACCACAGACUGCAAUGACUGUGGGAGGCUGCCUUGGAUAAGAGGCAGGUAGACCAGAGAGUGCAAGGAUCUGAAGUCUAAACAUAUAGGCUUGCUUACUGAGUGGCACCAAGGCAAAGUCCUACCCCUGUAACACAUCUGCUUUCAUAAAAUACAAGCAAGCUCUUUGCUUCCAGUCAUCGAAAUCUGAUUUUUCCAGGCUGGGGAUGUGGCUCAAGUGGUAGCGCGCUCGCCUGGCAUGCGUGCGGCCCAGGUUCGAUCCUCAGCACCACAUACAAAGAAAGAUGUUGUGUCCGCCGAAAACUAAGAAAAAUAAAUAUUAAAAAAAUUCUCUCUCUCUCUCUCUCUCGCUCUUAAAAAAAAAAAAAAAAUUCUCUCACUCUCUUAAAAAAAAAAUCUGACUUUUCCAAACAGAAAACAAAAACAAAAGAUUCAAAUUGGAUUAUCCAGAACAAUUCCUACAUUGCAAGUGUGGUCCUGGAAACUGUAUUUAGGGAUGACAUGGUCAUUUUAUUAUACUUUAGAUAUAUCAGGCUAAAUAUUUUAAAAUUGACUUUAAUUCCUUAACAGUAAGUCAGCACACUUACUAAGACUAUUAAAUAAGUCAAUUUAAAAAUGAACAAAGGGGGCUGGGGAUAUAGCUCAGUUGGUACGGUGCUUGCCUUGCACAAACAAGGCCCAGGGUUAAAUUCCCAGCACCACAAAAAACAAACAAAAAAGGACUUCAACAGACAUUUCUCUGAAGAUAAUGUACAAAAUGACCAAUAAGCACAUGAGAAGAUGCUCAAUGUCAGUGAUCAGAGAAAUGCAAAUCAAGACCACAAGACAGUAUCACCUCAUACCUAUGAAGGUGGCUACUACUGCAAAACCAAAGAACAACAAUAGAAACACAGAAAGUAACAAGUGCUGACAGGGAUGUGAAGCUGGAAUGCUCAGACACCCUUAGUGGGACUGCAAAAUGGUACAACUGCUAUGGAAAACAGCAUCCUGCACCUGGGUAUCCAAAAUAACAAAGCAGAGCCAUAAAGACCAUGCAUAUCCACAUUUAGAGCAGCUCUACUUAAGAACCCAGAGGCAAGGACUGGGGUUGGGGCUCAGUGGUAGAGCACUUGCCUAGCACAUGUGAGGCACUGGAUUUGAUCCUCAGCACCAUAUAAAAAUAAAUAAAUAAAAUAAAGUUAUUGAAGUUCACCUAAAACUAAAAAAUAUUAAAAAAAAAAAAAAAAAGAACCCAGAGGUGAAGGCAUCCAAGCCACAUACAAGGGCUUCCACGAGAAACAGAGUCAGAUACCUCAUCAAGAUAUCUGUCUUAGGACAAAAAACUACAAAGUGCCUUAUGUUUUUCCCUCCAAAUACUACACAUGUGCCGCUGUGAACUGUGAAACAUUCAGGACUAAAGGUACAGAGAAAUGUGAUCACGGUCAAGCAGAGUAUGUAGCUGAAGCAGAGAAAAACCAGCAGCAGCUCUUGAAAGCUGACAUCCACAGAAGCCACAGUCCACAACAAAGUCCACAACACACAACCACGAUUUCCCUUCUAAGAAUAAAGCUUAGGGAAAUAAUUACUUACAUAAGAUGUAUGCAAAGAUUCACCCCUAACAUCAUCACAACGCUUUCUUGUUGUUUUUGGAACUGGGGAUUAACCCAGAGGCACUCUACCACUGGGCCACAUCCCCAGAGAUUUUUAAAUUUUGAGACAGUGUCAUGCUCAGUUACCCAGGCUGGUCUCAAACCUGUGAUCCUCCUGCCUCAGUCUCCUGAGUGUCCGGGAUUAUAGGACUGUGCCACAGUAUCAGGCAUAACAGUGCUUUUAAUAGCAAAUUCUGAAUAAAAAUUAAAUGCUCAACAGUAAGGGACCCACUGCAUAAAUGAAGAUGUAUCUACGGGUGUUGAGAGCCUUCUUAACGGGGAUAUUAUAUGAUCAUUAAAAAAUCAAAGUAUUUGGGGCUGGGAUUGUGGCUCAGUGGUAGAGCACUCGUCUAGCACGCAUGAGGCCCUGGGUUCAAUCCUCAGCACCACAUAAAAAUAAAUAAAAUAAAGGUAUUGUGUCCAAUUACUUCUAAAAAAUAAAAAAUAACAAAAAAAUCAAAGUAUUUAAUGCGAAUCAAAACUACUCUAAGAUUUCAUCACUCCAGUCAGAAUGGCAAUUAUCAAGAAUACAAGCAAUAAUAAGUGUUGGCAAGGAUAUGGGGAAAAGGUACACUCAAUACAUUGCUGGUGGCACUGCAAAUUGGUCAACCAUUAUGGAAAGCAGUAUGGAGAUUCCUUAGAAAACUUGGAAUGGAACCACCAUUUGACCCAGCUAUCCCACUCCUUGGUCUAUACCCAAAGGACUUAAAAUCAGCAUACCACAGUGACACAGCCACAUCAAUGUUCAUAGCAGCUCAAUUCACAAUAGCUAAACUGUGGAACCAACCUAGAUGCUCUUCAACAGAUUGAUGGAUAAAGAAACUGUGGUACAUAUACACAAUGGAAUAUUACUCAGCAUUAAAAGAGAAUAAAAUUAUGGCAUUUGCAGGUAAAUGGAUGGAGGUGGAGAAUAACAUGCUAAGCGAAGUAAGCCAAUCCCAAAAAACCAAACAAGGAAUGUUCUCUCUGAUAAGUGGAUGCUGACCCAUCAUGAGGGAGAGGGAGUGUGGGGGAGAAUGGAGGAACUUUGUGCAAAGGGGAGGGAGAGGAAGGUAGGGGGCAAGGGGGUACGAAAGAUGGUGGAAUUAGAUGAACAUCAUUACCCUAGGUACACAUAUGACUGCACAUGUGGUGAGACUCUACAUCAUCUACAACUAGAGAAAUGAAAAGUUGUGCUCCAUUUGUGUACAAUGAAUUGAAAUACACAUGUAUUAUAAAUUAGGACAAAUUUUAAAAAAUAAAAAUAAAUAUAAAUACAUGAAAAAAAGCAUUUAAGGUUCAGAAUAUUAUUACAUGUUUAA
RNAcentral lists this long non-coding RNA (4859 nucleotides) under Marmota monax (woodchuck). The stretch from base 3879 to 3947 matches the Rfam family "tRNA". The record is from RNAcentral. Lineage: Eukaryota; Metazoa; Chordata; Mammalia; Rodentia; Sciuridae.